RNAcentral lists this ribosomal RNA (137 nucleotides) under uncultured Trebouxiophyceae. RNAcentral's name for it is "partial small subunit ribosomal RNA". It matches the Rfam family "Eukaryotic small subunit ribosomal RNA", at positions 1670 to 1804 of the family's 1831-position model. Lineage: Eukaryota; Viridiplantae; Chlorophyta; Trebouxiophyceae. The record is from RNAcentral.
CGCCCGUCGCUCCUACCGAUUGGGUGUGCUGGUGAAGCGUUCGGAUUGGCGGCCUCCGGCGGUUCGCCGCUGGGAGCAGCUGAGAAGUUCGUUAAACCCUCCCACCUAGAGGAAGGAGAAGUCGUAACAAGGUUUCC